GGGUGAGUAAUGUCUGGGAAACUGCCUGAUGGAGGGGGAUAACUACUGGAAACGGUAGCUAAUACCGCAUAACGUCGCAAGACCAAAGAGGGGGACCCUCGGGCCUCUUGCCAUCGGAUGUGCCCAGAUGGGAUUAGCUUGUUGGUGGGGUAACGGCUCACCAAGGCGACGAUCCCUAGCUGGUCUGAGAGGAUGACCAGCCACACUGGAACUGAGACACGGUCCAGACUCCUACGGGAGGCAGCAGUGGGGAAUAUUGCACAAUGGGCGCAAGCCUGAUGCAGCCAUGCCGCGUGUAUGAAGAAGGCCUUCGGGUUGUAAAGUACUUUCAGCGGGGAGGAAGGGAGUAAAGUUAAUACCUUUGCUCAUUGACGUUACCCGCAGAAGAAGCACCGGCUAACUCCGUGCCAGCAGCCGCGGUAAUACGGAGGGUGCAAGCGUUAAUCGGAAUUACUGGGCGUAAAGCGCACGCAGGCGGUUUGUUAAGUCAGAUGUGAAAUCCCCGGGCUCAACCUGGGAA
Molecule: ribosomal RNA, 520 nt
Filed under: uncultured bacterium
Lineage: Bacteria
Description: bacterial SSU rRNA
Rfam family: Bacterial small subunit ribosomal RNA
Source: RNAcentral